CAGAGUCGCCAGAGUUGUCCCACUUCCUUUUCACACACCUCGAAGGUGAUAUAAGGGAGUUUUUUCCAAUUUAAGUGAUAUUAUUAGAAAUGAGAUUAUUUAUUUAUUUAUUUUUAUUCAGAUUUGCCACUUGGGAUGGUUUGUUUCUGAUGUCCCAAGUCACUGAUUUAUAUUUAAAAUCCCAAAUCGAGCAAAAUUCAAUUUUCCUUUU
Molecule: long non-coding RNA, 211 nt
Filed under: Nicotiana benthamiana
Lineage: Eukaryota; Viridiplantae; Streptophyta; Magnoliopsida; Solanales; Solanaceae
Description: long non-coding RNA (NBEN_LNC038269)
Source: RNAcentral